Molecule: ribosomal RNA, 253 nt
Filed under: uncultured bacterium
Lineage: Bacteria
Description: partial 16S ribosomal RNA
Rfam family: Bacterial small subunit ribosomal RNA
Source: RNAcentral
UACGUAGGGUGCGAGCGUUGUCCGGAAUUAUUGGGCGUAAAGGGCUCGUAGGCGGUUUGUCGCGUCGGGAGUGAAAACGCCGUGCUUAACACGGCGCUUGCUUUCGAUACGGGCAGACUAGAGGUAUGCAGGGGAGAACGGAAUUCCUGGUGUAGCGGUGAAAUGCGCAGAUAUCAGGAGGAACACCGGUGGCGAAGGCGGUUCUCUGGGCCUGACCUGACGCUGAGGAGCGAAAGCGUGGGGAGCGAACAGG